This 253-nucleotide ribosomal RNA is filed under the name uncultured bacterium. Its description in RNAcentral is "partial 16S ribosomal RNA". It matches the Rfam family "Bacterial small subunit ribosomal RNA", at positions 524 to 776 of the family's 1533-position model. The record is from RNAcentral.
UACAGAGGUCCCAAGCGUUGUUCGGAUUCAUUGGGCGUAAAGGGUGUGUAGGUGGCGCCGUAAGUCGGGUGUGAAAUUUCGAGGCUUAACCUCGAAACUGCAUUCGAUACUGCGGUGCUUGAGGACUGGAGAGGAGACUGGAAUUCAUGGUGUAGCAGUGAAAUGCGUAGAGAUCAUGAGGAAGACCAGUGGCGAAGGCGGGUCUCUGGACAGUUCCUGACACUGAGACACGAAGGCCAGGGGAGCAAACGGG